AAAAGGAAUCUGAAUUUGGUCUCAAGCUGACACUUCGAGAAGCGAAUUUAACACUGCCAGACUGCUGGAUUUUCUCCAGGGUUGCUUAUUUGGAGAGAAGGCAUUCCUUCCCUAGUCACACCCGUGUGUCAGUGACUGUGGGUGGCAGAACCUCAGGAGGUCACCCAGUCCAACCCCGUGCCCGGGCAGGGCCACCCUGAGCCAGCUGCCCAAAAGCAUGGCCAGCCUUUCCCAGGGAACCACUGAGUUCCCUCCCAUCUUCUGACGAAGUCUUCUUCAUCCCCUCCCGUCAGGUAUUUAUGGAUGAAGGAUCCCUCCAGCCCUUCUGUUCCACAGGCUGAACAGUCCCAGCUUUCUCAGCAUCUGCUCAUAGACAGUGUGCUAUCUGAGACACCCAUGUCUUACAGUGCUUUUCUCUCUCAAAGCCUACCAAACAAUGAGUGAAUGCCAAUAAAUUUAUGACUGUUUAUUAAACAGUUAUAGCCUUUCCCACAGAGUUAAGCUUGACAAUUAGAAAUGUCUUUUCUGUGAAUCUGUUCUAUAAAUCCACAAUACCAAGAGCUCACAAAGCUGAGGAGUUACGGUCUGAGGUGGCUGUUGGUAGCUGACAGUCCAGUUCACCUCAAGGUUGUUCAUUCAACAGACUGUCAUGUCUGUAGUCAGAGAAUAAUUACUAUUUAAUAGAUCUGGUCUGGUUCCAGUACAAAGGAUGACUUUGUUAGACAUGUGCUCUGUAAAAGCUUAAGGCAAAAGAACACAGGAGCUGAGCUGUACCACUGAGGAAAUACAGAAUAUUGAUAUAAAAUCUGUAUUUUGAAAGGAUGAAACAUGUUCAGUUAAACACAUUGUUCUUCAAGUGAAGCACCAGGUCUAAUAUGUCUUUAGACCAGAAUUAACCACAUGAAGCUGCAUUUAGCUUGCCCUGUCCUCAAAAAUACUGCCUUUAGUCCAGGAAACUAUGUGAAUGAUUUUUAUGUUGAUCAGAUAACUCAUACUAUUUGAAUAUUCAUACUGUUUUAUUAAAGUUAUGUUCUGCUUUUCAAUGAGUUGCAGAAAGCUACAACAGAAAAUAUUAAUUUUUUUUCACAUAAUAGUUUGCUCAUAGGACAACCUCCUCCCAGAUACAAAACUCCCAAGUCUGCAGGACCUCACAUUUCAAGGAAACUAGCUAUAACCAAGCGAAAGUUUUUGGGGUUUCACCAGCUACUUGGUGGCAUCAUCAGAUGACAUUGACUUCAAAAUCAACGUAUUAAGGACAUAUUUGGCUUUAAGUACCGCCCUUAUUUCCUUCCAUAAAUAAACCUGGCUAUCUAGAAUAUGACACAGAACCUCAGCUAUACUGGUACUAUUACUAGUUUGUGUUCUUAUCUUCAUGUACAUACAAUUGAGGAGAAAAGCAAACACACCUGUGUCCACUUCUAAGAUUGGGACAUGUCUUUCCCCAGCAUGCUUUCACAUUUAAAAUUAAAAGAUUAUAUUGGACCUUAUGUUUGUGAUAUAAAAAGGUAGUUUGGAAAAAGUACUUUAGAAGUACUUAAGUACUUCUCUGGAAAUGAUGUUGUGCAUAGAUGUCCUGAUUUACAAUUAAUUAUAUGUUUCUCCCAGAAGUACAAUUUUCUGUUCCCUUUAAAUUCUACAUGUUAACCUGGAUUUUUCAAAUGUCUUCGUUUUUUGGUUGGGAUUUAUUUCAAAUCCGUGUCUCAGAAUAAAAUGUAUUUUCUUUAGAUGUACCUUUGUAUUAGUUGUUUGUCACUAAAGUUGGAACACAUGGGAAGAGACUAAAACACACCAAGCCACAGCAAACAUUUCCUCACAUUUUAAAGGGAUGUAUUUUUCCUGUUGAGUUCAUUUUUGUAAAGAGA
Molecule: long non-coding RNA, 1862 nt
Organism: Corvus hawaiiensis (hawaiian crow)
Lineage: Eukaryota; Metazoa; Chordata; Aves; Passeriformes; Corvidae
Exons: 3
Source: RefSeq, a predicted model, not a curated record